UUAUUAUUAUUAUUAUUAUUAUUAUUAUUAUUAUUAUUAUUAUUAUUAUUACAGGUGCUAUGCAAGGCACCAGUCUUGGUUCUGGGCAUUCAGCAGUGAACCAGAGAGAUAUGGUUUCUUGCCCUGAAUCCUACAGUUAAUGGAGGAGCUGAAACGUGAAAUGAAUAUGUGGAUUUCUAAUUAAAAGAGCUUCCAUUAAUCGAGUACCGACUCUGGACCAGGCCCUAAGUUUUUCACCUACAUUAAGUCGUGAAGUCCUCGCUACCUUGUAAUAAGGUGGAACAUAACUUCCCACUUCUGACAUCUCCUUCCAUGGGGAGGGAGCUCCAUUAAUGUAAUAAUCUUGAUUCCUCUCGAAGACACCUGAAUUUGGAAAGAGGAACAGCUCGUGAGGAGCCCAGCGCCACCCCUCCUCCUUCCUUAGGACUGAGCUGCCUAAAGGAAAUGUUUGUUCUUCUUGGUCUUCCAGGCCCAACGAUGAACAGGGCAGAAGUAGGCCUUCUCAGGUCUUGUGCCUGGGGAGACAAGUCUCAUACUGGGAUUUUAAAUGAGGACGCUCACUGUCAGAUGCCAGCUUUCUCAUUAAUAAAAUCUCUGUAUGCGUGCAAGAGAGAGGCAUUUCAUAAAAAUAAGAGUAAGUAAGCAAGUGUGUUCUGUCAUAUUUGAACCAUCCCAAACCAGCCACGUUCUCUCCAGCAUGCAUUCCUGUGCUUCUUAUUCUGACCCCACCUGCCUCAGCAUCCAGGAAAGAGUGUCUUAAAAUAGUAUCAGUAUAACCUUCAGGGAUCGUGUGGCUGAGAAGCAGAGCAACUUGCACAGUAGCCUGGACCUGUUGCAGAUGGUGCAUAAAAUCCACCAUCAAACCUUCUAAGCAGAUUUGGCCCAAUUGCCUCAAUUUCUGAAACUGGGAAGGUUUGCAGUUGAGCUUUUGGGGAGGCAGAGUGGUAAAGAUUUAUAGAUUUAGAGGACCUAGGUUUGAGCCUACCCUGGGUAAAUCUCUCUAACUUUGACCCUCUGUUUCUUCCUCUAUAUAACAACACAGAUUGCCUUACUGAGUUCACCUGGUUUGUUGAGGCCCAGAGAGGAAAAUGGACGUAUAUGUGCUUUGUAAACUGUAAGGAUCUAUAAACAUGUGAGUUGUUUUACAGGCUUAAAGGGCAGUCUUUUAAAUAAUAGUUCUCAUUUUUACUCUGGAUUUUAAGCUUGAAUUUAUACAAAGGUGGUUGUAUGAUUAGCGAUUGAUAAUGGACUGGAUGGUUAUUAUUUAAAGGCUGAAAACCAGUCUACCAACUGAGCUCUCACCUCUUCCAAACAAUGUUAAUUACUUAUUUACUAAUUAAUGUAACUAAAAAUGAAACCCUCUCUCCCAUUGCUGUCUACAUUUUUAUCAUUAGUCUUUUGCAUUAGAUAGUGCCUCUCUCAAUGACUCCCUCUGAAUUUUGUAAAAUACUUUCCUGCCAGGAGGAAGCAACAGUAUACAUAAUAACUGGAGUGGAGUUGAGGAAGGAGAAGAGAAAGACUGAAGGCAGGUGAAAGGCACAGAAAGAGUCUGGGCUAUAAAUUUCAACCAAAAGUACUGAUAAGGAAACAGGAGGGAGCAGAAGGUCCCCAGGAGCAAGGGAACCUGGUUUCAAAGUGGCACCUUUAACACAGACUGUUUUAAGCCUGACUCUCUCUAUCAAGCUACCAUGUCUCAACCUGCAAGUCAGAAGAAAUGGAUUCCAGUCCUGCCUGUGUGACCAUCUAGCUGUGUGAUGUUGGCCAUAUGUGUCUUCUUACCAGCUCUUCCAACAAUCUCACAGCCUUUGUACUUCCUGGACAAAAAGGAGUCAAGAGCAUUCAUAAAGUACCCCCAAGUCAAUGUACCAGCACAGCGAAUAUGACCAGUGACUGAAAAUGGCCACUGACAACUGGUAAUGUCCUUAGUCUGUGCCACACAGGACUGAUGACAUUUUCCUGUGGAGCAUAGUUUUGUUCAAAUCUGUAUCCUGAACACAUGCCAAGAUGCCACCUUAACUGAGCAUUUACUAAAUGCAAUUGAAGGCAAGAGAUCUUCUGAUUUAAAGAGAAAGGAGGACAACUGAAGAUUUGAAGGGAAGCAAAGUGAUCAACUAGGAAAGGGCAUCGUAAGCACACGCCAUCUAAUUGUUUUCUUGUUGAGAGAAGAUGUAGUUAAGUGGUGGAAGCUUUGGACUGGGAGUCCUGGAGAACAGUUCCAGACUUUGAACAGGCCACUUCCCUCAUCUGUAAAAUGGAAGAGUUAGUCUAGACCAGAGGUUGCAAAAUGGCAGCUUGCAGGGUGAGUAAGACCCACAGAUGUCUUUUAUCUGGCCUUAGGAAAACUCAAAUUAGUUGGCAAUGUUUAAAAAUUGGGAAAUUUUUCAAAAGCUUGGAAUUCUACCCUCUCUGAAAAAAAAAAAAGUCAACUGAUCAGGCGGCAAGAAACCUACAUUUCUGCAUAACAGCAAAUCCACUAAGAAGGAAAGCACAUUUCCCUAACACAGGGCAGCGACUCUCUGGCAUGGCAUGGUGCCCAAGUGGCCUGGGGACUUCACUUGUUUAUGCUAACUCUGUUAGAGUUUGAAUAUAUAACCCCAAGACUAUAUCACC
Molecule: long non-coding RNA, 2610 nt
Organism: Camelus dromedarius (Arabian camel)
Lineage: Eukaryota; Metazoa; Chordata; Mammalia; Artiodactyla; Camelidae
Exons: 4
Source: RefSeq, a predicted model, not a curated record